GAUGAACGCUGGCGGCGUGCCUAAUACAUGCAAGUCGAGCGAACAGACGAGGAGCUUGCUCCUCUGACGUUAGCGGCGGACGGGUGAGUAACACGUGGAUAACCUACCUAUAAGACUGGGAUAACUUCGGGAAACCGGAGCUAAUACCGGAUAAUAUAUUGAACCGCAUGGUUCAAUAGUGAAAGACGGUUUUGCUGUCACUUAUAGAUGGAUCCGCGCCGCAUUAGCUAGUUGGUAAGGUAACGGCUUACCAAGGCGACGAUGCGUAGCCGACCUGAGAGGGUGAUCGGCCACACUGGAACUGAGACACGGUCCAGACUCCUAGGGGAGGCAGCAGUAGGGAAUCUUCCGCAAUGGCGAAAGCCUGACGGAGCAACGCCGCGUGAGUGAUGAAGGUCUUCGGAUCGUAAAACUCUGUUAUUAGGGAAGAACAAAUGUGUAAGUAACUAUGCACGUCUUGACGGUACCUAAUCAGAAAGCCACGGCUAACUACGUG
RNAcentral lists this ribosomal RNA (496 nucleotides) under uncultured bacterium. RNAcentral describes it as "partial 16S ribosomal RNA". It matches the Rfam family "Bacterial small subunit ribosomal RNA", at positions 28 to 507 of the family's 1533-position model. The record is from RNAcentral.